GCGGCGGUCGCAGCGAUCCGGUCACACUGCCGGCCUCUUCUUCCGCGCUCUCCACCUCGCGUUCAGCCGCCCCCGUCUACACGCGCAAGCUUCUCGCGGCAGAGCGGCCGGCGGCACCGCUUUCCCGACUGCGCAUGUCCCCCACUAGCUUCCCUCGAUCUCUAGGGGCCUUCCCGGGAUUAGCAGCACUCUGCACCAAUCACAGCUCUCCUUGGCAGGCCGUCAGUCUCCUGCCCCCUCGUCGCCAUGGCAACCACGCCGAAAAAAGCGUUCGCUUUGCUGCCUCAGGACCGCACAAUGGAGCGAGGCGCGGUACUUUCUGGGAGGGGUAGUCCAGCGGCCCUCAGCGUUGCGUGCUUGUGCGCCGGGCCGUUCCUUUGUGUUGAGGGUGGAGGGGGGGCCCUGGCGUCUCCGUGGUAACCGGGAUUAGUUCCUGCAGUUUUCAGGGCAACCCAGGGGACGGGGACUGGCCUCUCAAAGGCAAAGAGCGUCGGGAUCGGACUUGGGGUCGGAGAGAUACUCAGUGCCCGAGACAGUGAUGAGACAGGGGCAGAAAGAUACAGGGACUCCGGGGCAGGGAAAGAAAGACACUCAGAGCCAACAAGGGCACAGGCUCGUGGGCAGGGAGAAACACGAAAGAGAGAGAGAGAGAGAGACUUACUGUCAGACAGUAAAAAACAGAGGUCAGGAAGGAUGGAGAAGAGAUGAAAGACAAAGAGGAAGAGGAUGGAUCCAGAGACAAGAAGUACAGUUACUGAAAUUCAAGGAACAGACAAGGAUUCAGGACAGAGACAAGGAGAAAGGGCAGAAAUGAAAGCUACAGUAAAAUGGGUUGAGACUUCAAAGACUUGGAGAAAAACGACAAACAGCAAGAACAUACAUGGGGAGAGUUGGAGGGAGACGUGUUGGGAAAACUUGUCCAAAACGUGGGAAUAGACCAAAAGAUGACUGGGAGCCCUUCCCGAGACCCACAGUCCUGUCUAUCAAGCCCGCCUCACGUCGUCUAACUCCCUAAAGGAAGCAAGCCCUCCAUCCGAAGCAAUUCUUUUUGACAACUACUUUUGAUCGGAGUCCAGAUUCUGUGAAGUUAGAUGCCGACUUGUAAAAGUUGCUUCUCUCCCCUCUUCUGGAACCAUCUGUGCCAUCUAACUGGUUCCCUCGGUGAGGUAAAUAAAUCUUUGAUACGUGCUCA
Molecule: long non-coding RNA, 1192 nt
Organism: Choloepus didactylus (southern two-toed sloth)
Lineage: Eukaryota; Metazoa; Chordata; Mammalia; Pilosa; Megalonychidae
Exons: 2
Source: RefSeq, a predicted model, not a curated record